This 253-nucleotide ribosomal RNA is filed under the name uncultured bacterium. RNAcentral describes it as "partial 16S ribosomal RNA". It matches the Rfam family "Bacterial small subunit ribosomal RNA", at positions 524 to 776 of the family's 1533-position model. The record is from RNAcentral.
GACGUAGGAGGCGAGCGUUGUCCGGAUUUAUUGGGCGUAAAGAGCUCGUAGGCGGCCUGUCGCGUCGGAUGUGAAAGCCCGGGGCUCAACCCCGGGUCUGCAUUCGAUACGGGCAGGCUAGAGUUCGGUAGGGGAGAUCGGAAUUCCUGGUGUAGCGGUGAAAUGCGCAGAUAUCAGGAGGAACACCAGUGGCGAAGGCGAGUCCCUGGACAACUCCUGACACUGAGGCGCGAAAGCUAGGGUAGCAAACAGG